UGAGGAAUAUUUGUCAAUGGACGGAAGUCUGAACCAGCCAAGUAGCGUGCAGGAUGACGGCCCUAUGGGUUGUAAACUGCUUUUGUAUGGGGAUAAAGUUAGGGACGUGUCCCUAUUUGCAGGUACCAUACGAAUAAGGACCGGCUAAUUCCGUGCCAGCAGCCGCGGUAAUACGGAAGGUCCAGGCGUUAUCCGGAUUUAUUGGGUUUAAAGGGAGCGUAGGCUGGAGAUUAAGUGUGUUGUGAAAUGUAGACGCUCAACGUCUGAAUUGCAGCGCAUACUGGUUUCCUUGAGUACGCACAACGUUGGCGGAAUUCGUCGUGUAGCGGUGAAAUGCUUAGAUAUCAUGAAGAACUCCGAUUGCGAAGGCAGCUUACGGGAGUGUUACUGACGCUUAAGCUCGAAGGUGCGGGUAUCGAACAGG
Molecule: ribosomal RNA, 424 nt
Filed under: Verrucomicrobiota bacterium
Lineage: Bacteria; Pseudomonadati; Verrucomicrobiota
Description: Verrucomicrobia bacterium partial 16S ribosomal RNA
Rfam family: Bacterial small subunit ribosomal RNA
Source: RNAcentral